RNAcentral lists this transfer RNA (77 nucleotides) under Syntrophales bacterium. Its description in RNAcentral is "tRNA-His". It matches the Rfam family "tRNA". From Rfam's summary of the family: Transfer RNA (tRNA) molecules are approximately 80 nucleotides in length. Their secondary structure includes four short double-helical elements and three loops (D, anti-codon, and T loops). Further hydrogen bonds mediate the characteristic L-shaped molecular structure. tRNAs have two regions of fundamental functional importance: the anti-codon, which is responsible for specific mRNA codon recognition, and the 3' end, to which the tRNAs corresponding amino acid is attached (by aminoacyl-tRNA synthetases). tRNAs cope with the degeneracy of the genetic code in two manners: having more than one tRNA (with a specific anti-codon) for a particular amino acid; and 'wobble' base-pairing, i.e. permitting non-standard base-pairing at the 3rd anti-codon position. Lineage: Bacteria; Pseudomonadati; Thermodesulfobacteriota; Syntrophia; Syntrophales. The record is from RNAcentral.
GUGGCCGUAGCUCAGUUGGUUAGAGCGCCAGACUGUGGCUCUGGAGGUCGUGGGUUCAAUUCCCAUCGGCCACCCCA